RNAcentral lists this ribosomal RNA (253 nucleotides) under uncultured bacterium. Its description in RNAcentral is "partial 16S ribosomal RNA". It matches the Rfam family "Bacterial small subunit ribosomal RNA", at positions 524 to 776 of the family's 1533-position model. The record is from RNAcentral.
CACGUAGGGGACGAGCGUUGUCCGGAUUCAUUGGGCGUAAAGCGCGCGUAGGCGGCUCGGAAAGUCGGUCGUGAAAUGCCGGGGCUCAACCCCGGGACUGCGUCCGAUACUCCCGAGCUGGAGGCAGGUAGGGGAGAUCGGAAUUCCUGGUGUAGCGGUGAAAUGCGCAGAUAUCAGGAGGAACACCGGUGGCGAAGGCGGCAUCCUGGACCAAUAUUGACGCUGAGGUGCGAAAGCGUGGGGAGCAAACAGG